CCUACGGGAGGCAGCAGUGAGGAAUAUUGGUCAAUGGACGAGAGUCUGAACCAGCCAAGUAGCGUGAAGGAUGACUGCCCUAUGGGUUGUAAACUUCUUUUAUAAAGGAAUAAAACGAGGCACGUGUGCCUUUUUGCAUGUACUUUAUGAAUAAGGAUCGGCUAACUCGGUGCCAGCAGCCGCGGUAAUACGGAGGAUCCGAGCGUUAUCCGGAUUUAUUGGGUUUAAAGGGAGCGUAGAUGGGUUGUUAAGUCAGUUGUGAAAGUUUGCGGCUCAACCGUAAAAUUGCAAUUGAUACUGGCAGUCUAGAGUACAGUUGAGGUAGGCGGAAUUCGUGGUGUAGCGGUGAAAUGCUUAGAUAUCAAGAAGAACACGGAUUGCGAAGGCAGCUUACUAAACUGUGACUGACAUUGAUGCUCGAAAGUGUGGGUAUCAAACAGGAUUAGAUACCCCUGUAGUC
RNAcentral lists this ribosomal RNA (460 nucleotides) under uncultured bacterium. RNAcentral describes it as "partial 16S ribosomal RNA". It matches the Rfam family "Bacterial small subunit ribosomal RNA", at positions 338 to 795 of the family's 1533-position model. The record is from RNAcentral.